RNAcentral lists this transfer RNA (76 nucleotides) under Candidatus Omnitrophota bacterium. Its description in RNAcentral is "tRNA-Asn". It matches the Rfam family "tRNA". From Rfam's summary of the family: Transfer RNA (tRNA) molecules are approximately 80 nucleotides in length. Their secondary structure includes four short double-helical elements and three loops (D, anti-codon, and T loops). Further hydrogen bonds mediate the characteristic L-shaped molecular structure. tRNAs have two regions of fundamental functional importance: the anti-codon, which is responsible for specific mRNA codon recognition, and the 3' end, to which the tRNAs corresponding amino acid is attached (by aminoacyl-tRNA synthetases). tRNAs cope with the degeneracy of the genetic code in two manners: having more than one tRNA (with a specific anti-codon) for a particular amino acid; and 'wobble' base-pairing, i.e. permitting non-standard base-pairing at the 3rd anti-codon position. The record is from RNAcentral. Lineage: Bacteria; Pseudomonadati; Candidatus Omnitrophota.
UCCCCCCUAGCUCAGUUGGUAGAGCAAGUGACUGUUAAUCACUUUGUCCCUGGUUCGAGCCCAGGGGGGGGAGCCA